AUUGAACGCUGGCGGUAGGCCUAACACAUGCAAGUCGAACGGUAACAGGAUGAGGCUUUCUUCUUUGCUGUGGAGAGGCGGGCGGGGGAGAAAUGUACGUGAAACUGCCCUAUGGAGGGGGAGAACACCUGGAAACGGUAGCUAAUACAGCACAUACUCGCAACACCAGAGAGCAGGAGAUUCGCGCCUCUUGCCCUCGGGAAUGCCCCGAUGUGGGAUUAGCUAGUGGGUGGGGUAACGGCCCACCAAGGCGACGAUCCGUAGCUGGUCUGAGAGGAUGAUCAGCCACACUGGAACUGAGACACGGUCCAGACUCCUACGGGAGGCAGCAGUGGGGAAUAUUGGACAAUGGGCGCAAGCCUGAUGCAGCCAUGCCGCGUGGAUGAAGAAGGCCUUCGGGUUGUAAAGUACUUUUGUUGGGAAGGAAGAGAAUAAGGUUAAUACCUUGCCGUAUUGACGUUACCCGAAGAAGAAGCACCGGCUAACUUCGUG
Molecule: ribosomal RNA, 492 nt
Filed under: uncultured bacterium
Lineage: Bacteria
Description: partial 16S ribosomal RNA
Rfam family: Bacterial small subunit ribosomal RNA
Source: RNAcentral